This 954-nucleotide long non-coding RNA is filed under the name Homo sapiens (human). Its description in RNAcentral is "HSALNT0394621". Lineage: Eukaryota; Metazoa; Chordata; Mammalia; Primates; Hominidae. The record is from RNAcentral.
GCCCACCACCAUCUUGGGAGCUCUGGGAGCAAGGACCCCUGGCAUCUGGAUAUUAAGACUGUCUCCAGCCCUUUGAGGUUGAGAGAGGAAGCAAGCACGGAGGAAUGGAUUUGACAACCCACAUGUCCGUGACUCAAAGCAAGCAAGGCCUUGCACAACCAACUCGCCACCCACACAAUCUGCACAGUCUCAGUGAGAAAGCAGGAGCAGGGAGCUCUCCGCUGAGAGUGAAGAAAUGUCCUCAACUCGACUUCUCUGCAGUGUGCAUGUGUGUGAAACACAGACACACACGGGAGGAAUUUGGCUCUGUCAUUUUAGUGUACCAAAGAAAAAAAAACAGGGAGAAAUCACUUGUUUGAAGCCCUAAAUGACAUAAGGAAGAUUUUCCCAGAUCUAAAUAAUGAUCCCUAAGGUCAGGUGCUGUGUAUGGUAUGGAUUUGGAAACUUCAUAAUGUCUCUGACCACCACUCCAGGACACUGCAGACAGGUGUGCAUUUACUCAGCAUCCAGUAAACACCUGCAAGGUGCAGAGUACUACACUAGGCACAGGGAACAGAGCUACUGACUGACUGCCAGAGUUUCGAAGAAUACAGAUAAGUCAACUAUUAAAGCUAGGAAACAGACCGGAUGCGGUGGCUCACGCCUGUAAUCCCAGCACUUUGGAAGACCGAGGCGGGUGGAUCAACUGAGGUCAAGAGUUCAAGACCAGCCUGCCAACAUGGUGAAACUCCGUCCCUAUUAAUAAUACAAAAAAAUUAGCUGGGCAUGGUGGCACAUGCCUGUAAUCCCAGCUAUUCGGGAGGCUGAGGCAGGAGAAUUGCUUGAACCCAGGAGGCUGCAGUGAGCUGAGAUCGCGCCAUUGCACUCCAGCCUGGGCAACAAGAGCGAAACUCUGCCUCCAAUAAAUAAAUAAAUAAAAUAAAAUAAAAUAAAAUAAAGCCAUAAAACAGUAAA